This is a long non-coding RNA of Artibeus jamaicensis (Jamaican fruit-eating bat), 1299 nucleotides long. RefSeq lists it as uncharacterized. The record is from RefSeq and is a predicted model, not a curated record. NCBI's taxonomy places the organism in Eukaryota, Metazoa, Chordata, Mammalia, Chiroptera, Phyllostomidae. The transcript has 7 exons.
CACAACCCAGGAGCAUUUUUCCUGGUAAAAAUCAGGAUGGUUUCUUAUUCUUCAAGGCUGCUGUGCACAUGGUCUGCUUCCUGACAGGAAACAAAAAGUAGAAAACACCUUUUCUCCUGGGAAGCUCCUUUUCAGACUAGUAGUGCCAGACGACCCCUCUUCACUCUGAAAUACUGUAGAAUUGAGGACCUCAGAUAACUUUUGUUUAGUUUUGACUUAACAGAUUCCCCUGAGAGGAUCUCAGAGGCUCCCAGAAGUGCUUAGAAAACACUUUGGAAACUGCUGCUCCAGAGAAGAUGUUACACUUCUUUCCAAACAGAUGUGUACAAACAUGUUCAUAGUGGUUUUAUAAGUAAAAACAAAGCAAAAAACCAAGGUCCUCCUUGGAGAAAUGUCUGUUCAAGUCCUUUGCCCACUUUUUAAUUGGGUUGCCUGUCUUCUUAGAGUGAAGUCGUAAGAAAGAUGUGGCCCAUCCUGUCAUCCUGUUACUGGUAAAAAUUUCCAGACUUCAAAGAGCCAAUUGAAAGUUCUUGGUUCUGGCCAAGAAGGGUAUACUCAUUGAUUUCAGAGAAGAAGGAAGAGAGAGUGAGAGAGAAGCAUCGAUCAGCCUCCCACAUGUGCCCUGACUGGGGACCAAACCCGCAACCUACACACGCACCCUGACCAGGCAGCUAUCAUCAUGGUUUGGAAAAGAAACCUUGAUGCUAUUCAGAGAAUACUUUGAGUCCCCAAACCAACAUCUGCUUCCUGAAUGCCCUCCUUGUACUAGAGCCGGGUGACUGUCCUGUCCCACUCCGAGUCCCACUGGAGAAUGCAGUAAGAGAAUGAGAAGAAGUCGUGUCAUUCAGGACCCUGUCCUGUGCUCCUGGCCCCAAGAAGGUUCUCAGGACCCUUGGUGCAGAAAGACAAAACAAAACAAAACUUUGCUGCUGCUCCUACUUCUCAACCACAUUCAUUGAGCCCCUCCUUUGUCUAGGCCCUGGGGAUGCAAGUAAGAAUAAAAAAUGAUCCCGUCCCUCCAAAGAGUGCAUUUAUCCAACCAGUGAGACGGACAUGGGAACGAAUACUCUCAUAUCAUGUGACAAGCAAUAUGGAGUGAUGUACAAAGUGCUAUGGAAAUCCGGCUGAGGGAGUAAUUAAUUUUGUGUGACAGGUUGUGGCAGGCUAUGACAAGAAGGUGACAUCUGAGCUGGGUGUAGACAGCUAAGAGAGGAUUUGGGGGAGAGCUAUUUUAGAUAGAAGAAACAACAGUCUCAGUGGUGUCAAAGAGCACGGUUGUUUGAGGAUAGAGAGUAGGGA